Molecule: long non-coding RNA, 1640 nt
Organism: Monomorium pharaonis (pharaoh ant)
Lineage: Eukaryota; Metazoa; Arthropoda; Insecta; Hymenoptera; Formicidae
Exons: 3
Source: RefSeq, a predicted model, not a curated record
CGCGCGCCUCGCUCGCCGCGCAACCACUUCGCUCUAACGGCCCGCCGAACGUGCACGCGCGUACACGCACCGACCGACGUAAACGGCAACCGUUCGACCAGCGUGGAAAAACUGGCCGCUUCCAUUCCGCACGCACUCCCGCGUUUCAUUUUGCGGAGCAGCACUCGCCACCUCCGUUUUUUCGCCGGCCCCAAAGCGAGAUUCGACAAUGCGCGAAGGGAGAACGAGUGAGAAGCAAGAACACGGAAGAGAAAGAGAGAGAGGAGGAAAUAGACAUGAAAUGCGCCUCUUUCAGUUCCUCAUCCCACAUUUAUCUCCGUUCAUGUCCAUUAUCCACUCGGAUUACACACCGGAGGAUUCCGCUUUCGUACGCACGUAAACGGCUUUAACAUCGGGAGAUUGUUUUUUGUCCCGUACGCCCGUCAGCCAGUUCCACGAAUAUGAUGCAUUCCCCUAUCUUCAUUGUUGACACUCAGAUAUUUACUUUUCUUAUAGGUUAUACGGAAUGAGCAAAAAGUGUCCGACUAAAAUACAAAAUGUCUCGAAAACAAGACGGUUGAGAAAAAGAUGUCAUACGGAAAAAGAUGUUAUACGCAACAUUUCUGAAGGAGAGGAGGGAAGGGCAAACGAUGCGCAGCUGUCACACGGAGAAGAAGAAGAAGAAGAAGAAGAAGAAAAUCGCAACGCUAUCGUGCAAUCGCUCUUUAAAUUUCGCCAGGCUUCUCAAAGAAGAUCGAUUCCGCCGAUUGCGCCAGCAAAUAAAACGUAAUGUACGUGGAUAGGUAGGUACGUACCAUCUGUGUUUGAGCGCGGUCAGCAAACGUUUAAUGCGAGGCUGACCGACGACGGGAGGACGCAGUUUGCGUUACGGAGCUAGAGAGAACCGCUACGGUCGUUCAGGGUCCCGCGCAGGAAGCGGCCGGGGGCCUUGAUGGGCGUCGUUAUGCCUUUGUGAAUGGCUAUGGGACAAAUUACAUUGUGGGCGGCAACGGGGAAUAGGCGCGGGGGAAUAUUUUUAUAAGUUACCGAGCGUACCGAAGAGGAAAAACAAACCGCCUGAUGAACCUCGGCCCACGCCUAGAAAACGCAAGUGCUCACGAACCGUUGUGCUAAUUUGUACUUCCUCUCUCGUAUAUAUUUAUCGCCGUUUUACGAUUUUCGCGGAUUUUGCCGAACACAAUUGUUGCCGAAGUUAAAAUCGAUUCCUCCUCUUUAAGGAUAUAAAUGUAUACAUAUACAUCUGUGUCUUUUUCUUUCCUCCGCGGAAGAAUUGAGAUAGCAUUCAGAUUUAUGCGGCUCGAGAUAAAGUCGAGAGUCGGGAAUGUUAUAUGAAUUAGGUGCGAUAGCUUACGGGCAAUAACAGUCUUCGACCAGAUAGCAUCCAAUAUUUUGCGAACUGUGAGAAAUUCUCGUGGAACUUAUUUUCCGGAGAUUUUCGGAGAGCACGACGACAACGCGUAAAAAAUAUUUUGCUCGCUUAUCAAUCGUCAUCACUACAUUUUCCAAUGAAUACACCUUGCCUGGCUUUAUAUUUGUCACACUUUCAAAUGUCCGUUCUAAAGAUAAAAUUCUCGCGAAGUUAACCAAUUAUCAUAAUUUUAUUGUCAUAUAUUUGUUUACAUUGUUAUGUAUUAUCAAAC